Cajanus cajan (pigeon pea) is the source of this 359-nucleotide non-coding RNA. The record is from RefSeq and is a predicted model, not a curated record. Lineage: Eukaryota; Viridiplantae; Streptophyta; Magnoliopsida; Fabales; Fabaceae.
CUUGAAUUGUGUCUUGUGUUAGGUGGCAACGAGGAGAGCAAGCGUUCUGGAAAUGCCGGUGCCAGAGUAGCUUGUGGUAUCAUUGGUCUGCAAGGAUAAACUAAUCACAUGAAGUUGAAAACGUGCUUGAUCAUACGACGGAGCUUUAGAAUUGUGGAAUAAAGUAGCUCCUAUUUAAACCCGUUUGGUUAUGUCUGGUCUGUACUGCUGAAUUCCUGUGUUUUGCUUGUAUCGUUUGAGGAUUAUGUGUGUAUCAGUUUGCGCUUGCAGUGUGAUUCUCGAAAAAUGUGUUGGCCUUUUCUCGGCUGCAUACUGUUGCUUGUAAAAUAAUAAGUCAAUUCUCAAUAAUCUUAGCUUAA